ACGCUCGACACCUACGGGAGCAGCAGUGGGGAAUAUUGCACAAUGGGGGAAACCCUGAUGCAGCGACGCCGCGUGAGUGAAGAGGUAUUUCGGUAUGUAAAGCUCUAUCAGCAGGGAAGAAAAUGACGGUACCUGAGUAAGAAGCCCCGGCUAACUACGUGCUAGCAGCCGCGGUAAUCUGAGCGGGCUGGCAAGGC
Molecule: ribosomal RNA, 197 nt
Filed under: uncultured bacterium
Lineage: Bacteria
Description: partial 16S ribosomal RNA
Rfam family: Bacterial small subunit ribosomal RNA
Source: RNAcentral